Etheostoma spectabile (orangethroat darter) is the source of this 190-nucleotide long non-coding RNA. RefSeq lists it as uncharacterized. The record is from RefSeq and is a predicted model, not a curated record. Lineage: Eukaryota; Metazoa; Chordata; Actinopteri; Perciformes; Percidae. The transcript has 3 exons.
CUCAGUUUUCCUUGAGUUUACCAUCAGAAGAUUGUAGGUCAUCCAUGAUAUCAUAUCAUUUAUGCAUGCUUGGAGUUAAGCUAACUGACUGGUUUCAUUUGGCUUGAUUGAUAAGUAUAAUUCGGUGUCAUCCGCAUAACAAUGAAAGUUAAUUGAUAUUUUCCUAAUAAUAUUGCCUAGAGGAAGCAUA